CUAGUAGCGGCGAGCGAAGCGGGAAGAGCUCAAAUUUAUAAUCUGGCACCUUCGGUGUCCGAGUUGUAAUCUCUAGAAGUGUUUUCCGCGUUGGACCGCACACAAGUCUGUUGGAAUACAGCGGCAUAGUGGUGAAACCCCCGUAUAUGGUGCGGACGCCCAGCGCUUUGUGAUACACUUUCAAUGAGUCGAGUUGUUUGGGAAUGCAGCUCAAAUUGGGUGGUAAAUUCCAUCUAAAGCUAAAUAUUGGCGAGAGACCGAUAGCGAACAAGUACCGUGAGGGAAAGAUGAAAAGCACUUUGGAAAGAGAGUUAACAGUACGUGAAAUUGUUGGAAGGGAAACGCUUGAAGUCAGACUUGCUUGCCGGAGCUUGCUUCGGUUUGCAGGCCAGCAUCAGUUUUCCGGGGUGGAUAAUGACGGUUUGAAGGUAGCAGUCUCGGCUGUGUUAUAGCUUUCCGUUGGAUACGCCCUGGGGGACUGAGGAACGCAGCGUGCUUUUUGCGAAAGACUCGUCUUUUUCACGCUUAGGAUGCUGGUGGAAUGGCUUUAAACGACCCGUCUUGAA
Molecule: ribosomal RNA, 566 nt
Filed under: Rhodotorula diobovata
Lineage: Eukaryota; Fungi; Basidiomycota; Microbotryomycetes; Sporidiobolales; Sporidiobolaceae
Description: eukaryotic LSU rRNA
Rfam family: Eukaryotic large subunit ribosomal RNA
Source: RNAcentral